Molecule: ribosomal RNA, 253 nt
Filed under: uncultured bacterium
Lineage: Bacteria
Description: partial 16S ribosomal RNA
Rfam family: Bacterial small subunit ribosomal RNA
Source: RNAcentral
UACGGAGGGUGCAAGCGUUAUCUGGAUUCAUUGGGUUUAAAGGGUGCGCAGGUUGGAUAGUAAGUCAGUGGUGAAAUACUGUCGCUUAACGGUAGAACUGUUAUUGAUAUUGUUGUUCUUGAGUAUGGUUGAGGUAGGUGGAAUGUGUUGUGUAGCGGUGAAAUGCAUAGAUAUGACACAGAACGCCGAUUGCGAAGGCAACUUACUAAGCCAUUACUGACGCUGAGGCACGAAAGCGUGGGGAGCGAACAGG